UGCAGUCGAGCGGAUGAAGGGAGCUUGCUCCUGGAUUCAGCGGCGGACGGGUGAGUAAUGCCUAGGAAUCUGCCUGGUAGUGGGGGAUAACGUCCGGAAACGGGCGCUAAUACCGCAUACGUCCUGAGGGAGAAAGUGGGGGAUCUUCGGACCUCACGCUAUCAGAUGAGCCUAGGUCGGAUUAGCUAGUUGGUGGGGUAAAGGCCUACCAAGGCGACGAUCCGUAACUGGUCUGAGAGGAUGAUCAGUCACACUGGAACUGAGACACGGUCCAGACUCCUACGGGAGGCAGCAGUGGGGAAUAUUGGACAAUGGGCGAAAGCCUGAUCCAGCCAUGCCGCGUGUGUGAAGAAGGUCUUCGGAUUGUAAAGCACUUUAAGUUGGGAGGAAGGGCAGUAAGUUAAUACCUUGCUGUUUUGACGUUACCAACAGAAUAAGCACCGGCUAACUUCGUGCCAGCAGCCGCGGUAAUACGAAGGGUGCAAGCGUUAAUCGGAAUUACUGGGCGUAAAGCGCGCGUAGGUGGUUCAGCAAGUUGGAUGUGAAAUCCCCGGGCUCAACCUGGGAACUGCAUCCAAAACUACUGAGCUAGAGUACGGUAGAGGGUGGUGGAAUUUCCUGUGUAGCGGUGAAAUGCGUAGAUAUAGGAAGGAACACCAGUGGCGAAGGCGACCACCUGGACUGAUACUGACACUGAGGUGCGAAAGCGUGG
Molecule: ribosomal RNA, 712 nt
Filed under: Pseudomonas aeruginosa
Lineage: Bacteria; Pseudomonadati; Pseudomonadota; Gammaproteobacteria; Pseudomonadales; Pseudomonadaceae
Description: bacterial SSU rRNA
Rfam family: Bacterial small subunit ribosomal RNA
Source: RNAcentral